Molecule: ribosomal RNA, 432 nt
Filed under: uncultured bacterium
Lineage: Bacteria
Description: partial 16S ribosomal RNA
Rfam family: Bacterial small subunit ribosomal RNA
Source: RNAcentral
AGCGAACGCUGGUGGCAGGCCUAACACAUGCAAGUCGAACGAACUCUUCGGAGUUAGUGGCGGACGGGUGAGUAACACGUGGGAACGUGCCUUUAGGUUCGGAAUAACUCAGGGAAACUUGUGCUAAUACCGAAUGUGCCCUUCGGGGGAAAGAUUUAUCGCCUUUAGAGCGGCCCGCGUCUGAUUAGCUAGUUGGUGAGGUAAAGGCUCACCAAGGCGACGAUCAGUAGCUGGUCUGAGAGGAUGAUCAGCCACAUUGGGACUGAGACACGGCCCAAACUCCUACGGGAGGCAGCAGUGGGGAAUCUUGCGCAAUGGGCGAAAGCCUGACGCAGCCAUGCCGCGUGAAUGAUGAAGGUCUUAGGAUUGUAAAAUUCUUUCACCGGGGACGAUAAUGACGGUACCCGGAGAAGAAGCCCCGGCUAACUUCGU